This 434-nucleotide ribosomal RNA is filed under the name uncultured Acetitomaculum sp. Its description in RNAcentral is "bacterial SSU rRNA". It matches the Rfam family "Bacterial small subunit ribosomal RNA", at positions 341 to 792 of the family's 1533-position model. The record is from RNAcentral. Lineage: Bacteria; Bacillati; Bacillota; Clostridia; Lachnospirales; Lachnospiraceae.
ACGGGAGGCAGCAGUGGGGAAUAUUGCACAAUGGGGGGAACCCUGAUGCAGCAAUGCCGCGUGAAGGAAGAAGUAUUUCGGUAUGUAAACUUCUAUCAGCAGGGAAGAAAAUGACGGUACCUGACUAAGAAGCCCCGGCUAACUACGUGCCAGCAGCCGCGGUAAUACGUAGGGGGCAAGCGUUAUCCGGAUUUACUGGGUGUAAAGGGAGCGCAGGCGGCAGGGCAAGUCAGAUGUGAAAGCCCGGGGCCCAACCCCGGGACUGCAUUUGAAACUGUCCGGCUUGAGUACAGGAGAGGCAGGCGGAAUUCCUAGUGUAGCGGUGAAAUGCGUAGAUAUUAGGAGGAACACCAGUGGCGAAGGCGGCCUGCUGGACUGUAACUGACGCUGAGGCUCGAAAGCGUGGGGAGCAAACAGGAUUAGAUACCCUGGUA